ACGAAGGGGGCUAGCGUUGCUCGGAAUGACUGGGCGUAAAGGGCGCGUAGGCGGUUGUUACAGUCAGAAGUGAAAUUCCUGGGCUCAACCUGGGGACUGCCUUUGAUACGUAGCGACUAGAGUAAGGAAGAGGGUUGUGGAAUUUCCAGUGUAGAGGUGAAAUUCGUAGAUAUUGGAAAGAACACCGGUGGCGAAGGCGGCAACCUGGUCCUUUACUGACGCUGAGGCGCGAAAGCGUGGGGAGCAAACAG
This 251-nucleotide ribosomal RNA is filed under the name uncultured prokaryote. Its description in RNAcentral is "partial 16S rRNA". It matches the Rfam family "Bacterial small subunit ribosomal RNA", at positions 525 to 775 of the family's 1533-position model. The record is from RNAcentral.